UGGGGAAUAUUGCACAAUGGGCGAAAGCCUGAUGCAGCGACGCCGCGUGAAGGAUGAAGUAUUUCGGUAUGUAAACUUCUAUCAGCAGGGAAGAAAAUGACGGUACCUGACUAAGAAGCCCCGGCUAACUACGUGCCAGCAGCCGCGGUAAUACGUAGGGGCGAAGCGUUAUCCGGAAUUACUGGGUGUAAAGGGUGUGUAGGCGGGGUGUCAAGUCAGAUGUGAAAACUGUGGGCUUAACCCACAAACUGCAUUUGAAACUGGUACUCUUGAGAGUGGGAGAGGUAAACGGAAUUCCUGGUGUAGUAGUGAAAUGCGUAGAUAUCAGGAGGAACACCGGUGGCGAAGGCGGUUUACUGGACCACAACUGACGCUGAGACACGAAAG
Molecule: ribosomal RNA, 387 nt
Filed under: uncultured Cellulosilyticum sp.
Lineage: Bacteria; Bacillati; Bacillota; Clostridia; Lachnospirales; Cellulosilyticaceae
Description: bacterial SSU rRNA
Rfam family: Bacterial small subunit ribosomal RNA
Source: RNAcentral